AGUGAACGCUGGCGGUAGGCCUAACACAUGCAAGUCGAACGGCAGCACAGUAAGAGCUUGCUCUUACGGGUGGCGAGUGGCGGACGGGUGAGGAAUACAUCGGAAUCUACUUUUUCGUGGGGGAUAACGUAGGGAAACUUACGCUAAUACCGCAUACGACCUACGGGUGAAAGCAGGGGAUCUUCGGACCUUGCGCGAUUGAAUGAGCCGAUGUCGGAUUAGCUAGUUGGCGGGGUAAAGGCCCACCAAGGCGACGAUCCGUAGCUGGUCUGAGAGGAUGAUCAGCCACAUUGGAACUGAGACACGGUCCAGACUCCUACGGGAGGCAGCAGUGGGGAAUAUUGGACAAUGGGCGAAAGCCUGAUCCAGCCAUACCGCGUGGGUGAAGAAGGCCUUCGGUUUGUAAAGCCCUUUUGUUGGGAAGAAAAAGCAGCAGGUUAAUACCCCGCUGUUCUGACGGUACCCAAAGAAUAAGCACCGGCUAACUUCGUG
RNAcentral lists this ribosomal RNA (492 nucleotides) under uncultured bacterium. Its description in RNAcentral is "partial 16S ribosomal RNA". It matches the Rfam family "Bacterial small subunit ribosomal RNA", at positions 29 to 507 of the family's 1533-position model. The record is from RNAcentral.